This 265-nucleotide ribosomal RNA is filed under the name uncultured bacterium. RNAcentral's name for it is "partial 16S ribosomal RNA". It matches the Rfam family "Bacterial small subunit ribosomal RNA", at positions 524 to 788 of the family's 1533-position model. The record is from RNAcentral.
UACGUAGGAGGCGAGCGUUGUCCGAAUUCACUGGGCGUAAAGGGCGAGUAGGCGGCUUGUUAAGUCCUGUGUGAAAUCUCCCGGCUCAACUGGGAGGGGUCAUGGGAUACUGGCAGGCUUGAGGGCAGCAGAGGAAGGUGGAAUUCCCGGAGUAGUGGUGAAAUGCUUAGAGACCGGGAGGAACACCAGUGGCGAAAGCGGCCUUCUGGGCUGACCCUGACGCUGAGGCGCGAAAGCAUGGGGAGCAAACCGGAUUAGAAACCCG